UCUGCCAGCCUCAGUCUCAGUAAAGCCGCACAAAAGAAGUGAAUGAAGAAACCAGCGGGGUCAGGUUUCAAAUGAGCCAAUUAGACAUGUGGGGGUAAACCCUGUGAAUCAUUUGUAGGGAGGGGGUCAGGGUGGCACAGAGAUAAGUCAGAGUGCUGGAGAGGGGAAAGAGCAAGAUAACAGAGGGCUUCCUGCUCUGGAGGUGAACCCCAACCGCCCCAGUCCCCUUAUCUCAAAGCGCUCAGAUAGCACUUCCCCAGGGCUAAGAGGAAGUUUCUUGAAAACUUCCCGGGUACCUGGGGAGAGUUAGUCAUGCAUAUUACGGAUCUCUUGCGCUGAAGUUUCUGGUUUAAUAGAGCCAGCUAGCCCCUGGCUACGGGCAGCCUCCACCUGACUGGAGGACGCCAGAGGAGGCGGGGAAGGUGAGCGGGCCCUCUCUGAAGGAGACUGAUGGUCUAGACAGAUGAAGAGGCUCUGUGCACCACGCCAGGGCUCCACACUCUCCCGUCACAAUCAAAUGUUCCAUCAGAGGACAAGGGUCAGAGGGUAAAAGGUCACACUGCCCCAGCCUCUGAAACAUAGGAAGCAAAGCAGGACAAAGGGGCCCUAGACAGGGGGAGGAGGAGUUAAGAGUGGGAAUGAGGAGGCCAAGGGCAAAAGUGUUCCCUGGUGUCCCGGGGGGACAACAGGAAGUCAAGAUUUGCUGGUCUUCCUCUGGGGGGACCUCAUUGUCUCCAGCCAGACCCAAGAAUCACAGAAUUGAAAGGGGCACAAGAGGUUAACCUUGCGGUGCUUAACUGUGAGAGGAGACAGCUGGAAGGGUCCCAACGGGGUCACGGAGGACCGACCCUGUGCCUGCUACGCUGGAAACGGAGAGACAAGGAAGUUAAGCAACUUGCGUAAACUCACACAGCCGGUAAACAGGGGAGCUGGGAUCUGAACCCAGAUGGUCGGGAUCCAGAGCCGUGUGCACACACACACCAACCCCAUUGUGCUCUCUGGCUCCGGUAAGCAUUACAGGAUUAACACAGAUGUCAAACCCUAGCCGAUGGCCUCCCUGACACCUUAAUCUCAUCAACACGGUUCCAGUAAGACUAGAGAAUCAGGGAAGUUUUUACAGCAACCAGUAAGAGGAUGGCUGGAUCAGCUAAAAACUUUAUCUACCCGGGUGCCUAUUCAGCAGGGCCAGCUGAGGGGCCAGCUCCAAGGGAGCCAAAGGGCUGGUUCCCAAGGGGGUGACAGCCAGCGCUCCUGUCUCAGAAGCCAGUGUCUGACUCCGAGCCCACACUUCUCCCAGGCUGGGGAUUUUCUUCAUGCCAAGUCCAUUCGUUCUGAGGCGGUCAACGAUCUCUAGUGGGCUAAGGCAGUCCGAAUUAGCGUGAGUUUUUAGUAUGAUGAGUUGCAGACAUACAGCGGUAUCUCAAAAGUUAUCUCUGACGGUUUUGUUUGUUUCGAUUUUCAAGUGCCGUGAGGCAGAAAAACUGUAAGCAGGCUUGCCAGGCACCUGCCAUCCUGUACCCCAGUCAGGGGUCCUGGUCUCCCCAGUUCUUCUCAUUGCCCCAUCUUUGGUCCUGUUUCCAGGAAUUAAUGUGCACAAGACACAUUAACAAAAAUGUUAUUUGGUUAGCUCAUUCAUGCUGCAAUGGAAUGAACACAGGCAUCAGAGCGAAGCAGACCCAGGGCACUCGACUUGUGCACAGCCAGUCCUACAGGGGUGACUCUGCAGAGCCAGAAGCACAUUUCAUAUUGCUCCCUGAGCUUUCAGGGAAUCACGAUUCAAGCAGUUUUACCACCAAAGGCCUACCGGCGUUCGGAUAUACGCUUUGGAACAAAGUCUUUCUUUGUAAUUACUCCAUGGAAGCUAAAAGUAACUGAUUUCAGGACCUACGGUGUCAAAAGAAGUUGAUAUAACUGUGUGUGACCAAAUACAUUUAUUUUAUCAUCAUUUGCCGACUUGACAUUUCUGAAGACAUUUACCUCCUGGUUUUGGUGAACGAAGCGCUAUCGUUUUUCGGUUCGUCUCCUUCCUACGUCACGAUCUACCUCACAUCUAACUCGUUCAUAGCAUGCUGAUAAAAUGAGUCACAACCAUCAAAGAAAAGGGAUCCGCUGGAACGGAGGCUUUCGUCACGCGAUAAAGGAACCAUGCCACUCUUGGUUUGACUACUCAGAGGGGUAAUAUCAUCGGCAGUUCUUGAUAAGGUGACACAAGUGAGGACAGACGUGAUGUUCAGCUGUUUCUGAGCAACAUCAAGCAGGACACAUUUAGGUUUUUCUGGAUUUUAGUUACCCAAGGCCCUGAAGGUAGAUCACAUGUCUUGGCCAUCUUCUUAUCGCCCAGGGAGAACCCAGACUUCGGAGGGAAUGCAGGAGUUGAGAGUGCAGGAGAUCAGAGACCAUUCGGGCUAAUCCCUGUCCUACAGCUGGGGAAACCGAGGGCCAGAGAAGAGUAACUCAGCCCUUAAGCUUUGGCAGAAUAGAGGAUUGGAGCCUGCUCUCCCGACUCCAGAAUCCCGCCCUUUCAAAAAUGUCAUCUAAGCUGA
Felis catus (domestic cat) is the source of this 2543-nucleotide long non-coding RNA. RefSeq lists it as uncharacterized. Lineage: Eukaryota; Metazoa; Chordata; Mammalia; Carnivora; Felidae. The record is from RefSeq and is a predicted model, not a curated record. The transcript is spliced from 3 exons.